AACGCACCUUGCGCCCUAUGGUAUUCCGUAGAGCAUGCCUGUUUGAGUGUCAUGAAAACAAUCAACCUUGACUUUGGUUUCAUUACCAUUGGCCUGGCUUGGACUUGGGUGUCUGCCGAUCUCAUGAUCGGCUCACCUUAAAUGAAUUAGCUGGACUUGUUUGUGAGGAUUGGUUCGACUUGGCGUAAUAAGUAUUUCGUCAAGGACAUCGCUUUGGUGAUGGCCGAUCUUCUCGACGACUGUCUGCUUUCCAACCCGUCUUCUGUCUUCCUGGACAUUUGACAUCUUCAUGAUCUGGCCUCAAAUCAGGUAGGACUACCCGCUGAACUUAA
RNAcentral lists this unclassified non-coding RNA (332 nucleotides) under uncultured fungus. RNAcentral describes it as "partial contains 5.8S ribosomal RNA, internal transcribed spacer 2, and large subunit ribosomal RNA". The record is from RNAcentral. Lineage: Eukaryota; Fungi.